GAUGAACGCUGGCGGCGUGCUUAACACAUGCAAGUCGAACGGAAAGGCCAGUGCUUGCACUGGUACUCGAGUGGCGAACGGGUGAGUAACACGUGGGUGAUCUGCCCUGCACUUCGGGAUAAGCCUGGGAAACUGGGUCUAAUACCGGAUAGGACAAUGGUUUGGAUGCCGUUGUGGAAAGUUUUUUCGGUGUGGGAUGAGCUCGCGGCCUAUCAGCUUGUUGGUGGGGUAAUGGCCUACCAAGGCGUCGUCGGGUAGCCGGCCUGCGAGGGUGUACGGCCACAUUGGGACUGAGAUACGGCCCAGACUCCUACAGGAGGCAGCAGUGGGGAAUAUUGCACAAUGGGCGCAAGCCUGAUGCAGCGACGCCGCGUGGGGGAUGACGGCCUUCGGGUUGUAAACUCCUUUCGCUAGGGACGAAGCGUAUUUGUGACGGUACCUGGAGAAGAAGCACCGGCUAACUACGUG
Molecule: ribosomal RNA, 468 nt
Filed under: uncultured bacterium
Lineage: Bacteria
Description: partial 16S ribosomal RNA
Rfam family: Bacterial small subunit ribosomal RNA
Source: RNAcentral